This 395-nucleotide ribosomal RNA is filed under the name uncultured bacterium. RNAcentral describes it as "bacterial SSU rRNA". It matches the Rfam family "Bacterial small subunit ribosomal RNA", at positions 505 to 898 of the family's 1533-position model. The record is from RNAcentral.
GUGUCAGCAGCCGCGGUAAUACAGAGGGUGCGAGCGUUGUCCGGAAUCACUGGGCGUAAAGGGCGCGUAGGCGGCUUGGUAAGUAGGGGGUGAAAUGCUGCGGCUCAACCGCAGCGCUGCCUCCUAAACUGCCGAGCUCGAGCACAGUAGAGGCAGGUGGAAUUCCCGGUGUAGCGGUGGAAUGCGUAGAGAUCGGGAAGAACAUCGGUGGCGAAGGCGGCCUGCUGGGCUGUUGCUGACGCUGAGGCGCGACAGCGUGGGGAGCAAACAGGAUUAGAUACCCUGGUAGUCCACGCCGUAAACGAUGGGCACUAGGCGUCGGGGGGAGCGACCCCCUCGGUGCCGUCGCUAACGCAGUAAGUGCCCCGCCUGGGGAGUACGGCCGCAAGGCUGAA